RNAcentral lists this ribosomal RNA (779 nucleotides) under uncultured bacterium. RNAcentral describes it as "bacterial SSU rRNA". It matches the Rfam family "Bacterial small subunit ribosomal RNA", at positions 8 to 796 of the family's 1533-position model. The record is from RNAcentral.
AGAGUUUGAUCCUGGCUCAGGACGAACGCUGGCGGCGUGCUUAACACAUGCAAGUCGAACGGAGCCCAACCGGUGGCAACACCGGGGAAGGCUUAGCGGCGAACGGGUGCGUAACACGUGAGCAACCUGUCCUGGAGACCGGGAUAACACCGGGAAACCGGUGCUAAUACCGGAUAACCCCACCGAAUCGCAUGGUUUGGUGAGGAAAUGGAUUCCGCUCCGGGAGGGGCUCGCGGCCUAUCAGCUUGUUGGUUAGGUAACGGCUCACCAAGGCUUCGACGGGUAGCUGGUCUGAGAGGACGACCAGCCACACUGGGACUGAGACACGGCCCAGACUCCUACGGGAGGCAGCAGUGGGGAAUCUUGCGCAAUGGGCGAAAGCCUGACGCAGCAACGCCGCGUGGGGGAUGAAGGCUCUCGGGUUGUAAACCCCUUUCAGCAGGGACGAAAAUGACGGUACCUGCAGAAGAAGCCCCGGCCAACUACGUGCCAGCAGCCGCGGUAAUACGUAGGGGGCGAGCGUUGUCCGGAAUUAUUGGGCGUAAAGAGCUCGUAGGCGGCUUGGCAAGUCGGGUGUGAAACCUCCAGGCUCAACCUGGAGACGCCACCCGAUACUGCCAUGGCUAGAGUCCGGUAGGGGACCACGGAAUUCCUGGUGUAGCGGUGAAAUGCGCAGAUAUCAGGAGGAACACCGGUGGCGAAGGCGGUGGCCUGGGCCGGCACUGACGCUGAGGAGCGAAAGCGUGGGGAGCGAACAGGAUUAGAUACCCUGGUAGUCC